Aethalodelphis obliquidens (Pacific white-sided dolphin) is the source of this 1343-nucleotide long non-coding RNA. RefSeq lists it as uncharacterized. NCBI's taxonomy places the organism in Eukaryota, Metazoa, Chordata, Mammalia, Artiodactyla, Delphinidae. The record is from RefSeq and is a predicted model, not a curated record. The transcript is spliced from 2 exons.
AGACCCCGCCCCCGGCCCCCUCGCCGUCGGUGCUGCGCUCCCGCCCCAAGGUGUUCUCCAAAUUCAGGCCGAAGUGAGCUUCUGCGGACGCGAUUACCUCGCCGAAUCCCGCAGCACCUGCUGGUCGGGGUACCCAGCUAACGCGUCACACGGAGAAAGGGCCGGCUUCCAGGGCGACCACACCGCGCGGCCCGCGGGGCAGUUCUACAUGCAAAGCAACGAAACGUCUCCUGACCUCGCCAGGCCGAAGCAGAAGCGACGGGCAGGAAGCGACGCAGAUUUUCAUCGGAAUGCCAACCUGCCCCGGCCCAGCCCGCUGCCUGUGGCGCCUGGAAGCUUUCCGCGCCCCGCCCCGCCUCCUACCCUGCGUCCAGGCCGUGCCGGGCCCUUCCUGCCCAUACCCUGCGGGCACGUUUUCGGAGGCCGUUCGCAGAAAGACCACCUCCCCGCCCCUUAUUCUCUGCAAAGGCGGCUCCAGCGAAAUCCUCGACAGACCGCAAAUAUACAUUUAAAUGUUACAGUCCCCCAGUUCCCCACUCUGCCCCACUCACCUCCUCCUCGGUAACACGUUAGCGCAAGGCCCGUGUGCACUCGCCUUCCCGCUCUGGCUUCAGGGCAGGGGGCUCUGGAAGGAAGGGUGUAUGUGUCGAGGGGCGUAGCGGGGUGGGGAACAGAGAAGGUUCUGAGGGACCGAGGUCCUAACCUAGGAGAGAGUAGGGACAGCAGAAAAGCAAGGCCGAGUAAAGACCCAAAGUGGCCUCUGCGGGAGAAACAGCAGGUUUCCACUUUGAUGAGCGGGAACACAGCGCCAGGCCUCGAUGGAUAGCAGCGUUAGGUUGGCAAGAAUAAUUUUCAAAGAUUGAAAUGCGUACCUUUAAUACCUUGUUUUCUUGCUAUAACACUUUUAAAAUACGUCAGUGCAUUACAGUUCUUGAUUCUAUAGAGUUAAACUAGUUGGCAAAAAUAAUUUUAAGCUGUUCUACAUAAACAAGUACGGGACUUAGGGAAUCUAUGGUGGAAAGCAAAGAUGAUUUUAGUUAAGAGCUCCACAGAUGAGAAUGAUAGCCAGUUAAUAAAACCGCCUUCUGGGAGUCUUCAGUUUGAAUAUUCUGAUCUAGAUAAGCAAAUUCUAGAGCUUCUUGCCACCUGGAACCUUAUGACCACAUCUCCCUGAGCAGGGCACAGGGAACAGGCUUCUUUUGUCCUGACUGUCACAGGGCAAUGCCUGUAGACACCUGCACCCUCCCCAGCUCCCAGGUGGCCGUCCAAUGGCUACUUACCAGUUUUGUGAAAACCGCAUAGGGAAGGGGUUAGGUGGCUCUGGAAUUAAACCAUCUGUCUCA